Molecule: ribosomal RNA, 406 nt
Filed under: uncultured bacterium
Lineage: Bacteria
Description: partial 16S ribosomal RNA
Rfam family: Bacterial small subunit ribosomal RNA
Source: RNAcentral
AUUGAACGCUGGCGUCAGGCCUAACACAUGCAAGUCGAACGAGUGGCGGACGGGUGAGUAAUGUCUGGGAAACUGCCUGAUGGAGGGUGAUAACUACUGGAAACGGUAGCUAAUACCGCAUACCAUCAGAUGUGCCCAGAUGGGAUUAGAUUGUUGGUGGGGUAACGGCUCACCAGGGCGACGAUCCCUAGCUGGUCUGAGAGGAUGACCAGCCAAACUGGAACUGAGACACGGUGCAGACUCCUACGGGAGGCAGCAGUGGGGAAUAUUGCACAAUGGGCGAAAGCCUGAUGCAGCCAUGCCGCGUGUAUGAAGAAGGCCUUCGGGGUGUAAAGUACUUGCAGCGGGGAGGCGUUACCCGCAGAAGAAGCACCGGCUAACUCCGUGCCAGCAGCCGCGGUAAUUC